This 491-nucleotide ribosomal RNA is filed under the name uncultured Propionibacterium sp. RNAcentral describes it as "partial 16S ribosomal RNA". Lineage: Bacteria; Bacillati; Actinomycetota; Actinomycetes; Propionibacteriales; Propionibacteriaceae. The record is from RNAcentral.
CACGUAGUUAGCCGGUGCUUCUUUACCCAUUACCGUCACUCACGCUUCGUCACAGGCGAAAGCGGUUUACAACCCGAAGGCCGUCAUCCCGCACGCGGCGUUGCUGCAUCAGGCUUCCGCCCAUUGUGCAAUAUUCCCCACUGCUGCCUCCCGUAGGAGUCUGGGCCGUAUCUCAGUCCCAAUGUGGCCGGCCACCCUCUCAGGCCGGCUACCCGUCAAAGCCUUGGUAAGCCACUACCCCACCAACAAGCUGAUAAGCCGCGAGUCCAUCCCCAACCGCCGAAACUUUCCAACCCCCACCAUGCAGCAGGAGCUCCUAUCCGGUAUUAGCCCCAGUUUCCUGAAGUUAUCCCAAAGUCAAGGGCAGGUUACUCACGUGUUACUCACCCGUUCGCCACUCGAGCACCCCACAAAAGCAGGGCCUUUCCGUUCGACUUGCAUGUGUUAAGCACGCCGCCAGCGUUCGUCCUCGAGCCACGGAUCAAACUCUA